GUCCACGCCCUAAACGAUGCGAACUGGAUGUUGGGCUCAACUUGGAGCUCAGUAUCGAAGCUAACGCGUUAAGUUCGCCGCCUGGGGAGUACGGUCGCAAGACUGAAACUCAAAGGAAUUGACGGGGGCCCGCACAAGCGGUGGAGUAUGUGGUUUAAUUCGAUGCAACGCGAAGAACCUUACCUGGCCUUGACAUGCACGGAACUUUCCAGAGAUGGAUUGGUGCCUUCGGGAACCGUGACACAGGUGCUGCAUGGCUGUCGU
RNAcentral lists this ribosomal RNA (264 nucleotides) under uncultured bacterium. RNAcentral's name for it is "partial 16S ribosomal RNA". It matches the Rfam family "Bacterial small subunit ribosomal RNA", at positions 793 to 1055 of the family's 1533-position model. The record is from RNAcentral.